RNAcentral lists this ribosomal RNA (252 nucleotides) under uncultured bacterium. RNAcentral describes it as "partial 16S ribosomal RNA". It matches the Rfam family "Bacterial small subunit ribosomal RNA", at positions 57 to 305 of the family's 1533-position model. The record is from RNAcentral.
GCAAGUCGAACGAGAAAGCACUUCGGUGUGAGUAAAGUGGCGCACGGGUGAGUAACGCGUAGGUGAUAUGCCUAUUAGUGGGGGACAACAUCGUGAAAACGGUGCUAAUACCGCAUAAGCUUGGUGACAUUAAAAAAGCCAAGGAAAGGGGGCUUCGGCUCUCGCUAGUAGAUUGGCCUGCGUAGCAUUAGCUUGUUGGUGGGGUAACGGCCUACCAAGGCUACGAUGCUUAACUGGUCUGAGAGGAUGAUC